UGUGGUUGUAGCUCAGUGGUAGAGCACUUGCCUCACAAGUGUAAGGCACUGAGAUACUGGGUUCAAUCCUCAGCACCACAA
This 81-nucleotide transfer RNA is filed under the name Marmota monax (woodchuck). RNAcentral describes it as "tRNA.Val". It matches the Rfam family "tRNA". Rfam says of the family: Transfer RNA (tRNA) molecules are approximately 80 nucleotides in length. Their secondary structure includes four short double-helical elements and three loops (D, anti-codon, and T loops). Further hydrogen bonds mediate the characteristic L-shaped molecular structure. tRNAs have two regions of fundamental functional importance: the anti-codon, which is responsible for specific mRNA codon recognition, and the 3' end, to which the tRNAs corresponding amino acid is attached (by aminoacyl-tRNA synthetases). tRNAs cope with the degeneracy of the genetic code in two manners: having more than one tRNA (with a specific anti-codon) for a particular amino acid; and 'wobble' base-pairing, i.e. permitting non-standard base-pairing at the 3rd anti-codon position. The record is from RNAcentral. Lineage: Eukaryota; Metazoa; Chordata; Mammalia; Rodentia; Sciuridae.